UUUUUAACACCAUUAGUUUGUAUUUAACGGAAAUGAUUUGAUUGACACAAAUUUUUUCUAUAUGGGGACGAAAUUGACAUUUUUCUAAAAGGGGGACGAAUUUGACANACUUCAACCAAACUGGGGACAAAAGAAGCAAUUAAACCAAAAAUAAUUUAUAGGUCUAGAAAUCAAUAUGUCUAUAAAAAUAUACAAUUAGACUUUGUAAACAUACAAAAGAUAAAACAUGUAUACAGAGAAUAGAUUUUGUAAAAAUAUAAAAGAUAUGUAAGAAUACGUAGAAUAGACUUGUUAAAAAUAUAAAUUAGUGUAUGAAAAGACUAGUUUAAUGUUUAUUGUUAGCCUUGUCUAAUCA
This 355-nucleotide long non-coding RNA is filed under the name Vigna radiata. RNAcentral's name for it is "long non-coding RNA (VRAD_LNC013293)". Lineage: Eukaryota; Viridiplantae; Streptophyta; Magnoliopsida; Fabales; Fabaceae. The record is from RNAcentral.